Molecule: long non-coding RNA, 6660 nt
Filed under: Lactuca sativa (garden lettuce)
Lineage: Eukaryota; Viridiplantae; Streptophyta; Magnoliopsida; Asterales; Asteraceae
Description: long non-coding RNA (LSAT_LNC008017)
Source: RNAcentral
AGGCAUAUCAAUAAAUAAUAAUGUAAUGUGUAAUGACAAUAAUGACUAACUAAUAGACGAAAGAGUCUCGUAGUGGGUUUCUCUCGAUCAAAUUGUCUGUCUAUACUCUAGUUGCUUAUGGAUGCCACUCUAGUUGCUUAUGAUCCAUCAAUCAUUGUAUCUAUUUUGCAGCUAGCAUCAUAUGUAUCCUACAUCAAAAAGCCAAAAGUAAAUGAAAACCCACAUCCAAAAUGUAAACUAAAUGUAAUAACAUAAAAAGGUAUGACAGUGAAGAUAUAUGGAUUACUCACGCUUUUAACUCUUGUAUAGUAUAAAUUAGCAAAUUCAUCAACAAAGAUAAUAUUGAGGAGCAUAACAUAGCACAUCAAGUAGAAUUUUAAGCAACAUAUCAUAGCUAGAAAACAAUGACUUAAUAAUAAACAAUAUAUAAGGGUUAUUUUAAGAAUAAGUCGCUGCAUAGAAUGACAAUCGGUAGAAAACCCUUCAGUCAAUCUUGUAAAGAUAACUCGAGUUCUUCUCCUUGUCCUUUUCAUAUGCAGAAGACGAACCAUAUAAUUAAAGACCAUAAAUUCAUUUGCGUUGACUAUUUCUGCCAAUUCCUUUUCUUCUACUUUUAGUUAAUACCAAUGCUGGCUUCAAAUCAAUGUUUCUGAUGUGAUAAUAUCUCACAGUUUAUACCAAUCAAACUCAAUAAUUUCAUCAUAAUUCUAUAAGUUGACAUCCCUAUCUACUACGAAAUGACUCGAGACUACAUAAAAACAAAACAAAUUGCAUUAACACAUAAGAAAUAAUGAGAAAUAUAUAGAGAAUAGAUGUACUCCCAAGUAUGAAAACAUGAAUUGCAAUGGAAGAAGGUGCCAAUACUUUAACACUUCCUAACAGUUGUGAACGAUAUUCGUAGUUGCACUUAAAUACAUUAAUAUCGCUAUUGAAAAUUUAGUAAAAGUCCAUGUGAGGCACUUCUCCACCUCAUCCUCUGGUUUCUCCGGUGGCUUGUAAAAAGUGACUAAUUUACACCAAAUUGUUCAAUAAAUUUGACAAAAUAUGAGGAUAUAAAUCAAGCAUUACCCAAAGAAGAAGCUUUGGGUACCUGUAAAAUCGAGUAUCUGCUACAAAGAACUUCCACAAAAGGAGUAAAAAAAUUGAAAUUAGUGAUUAGUUUUUGUCAUUUGCGUGAGGUUUCUAUAUGGAAUGAAUGAUAAGAUCUAUGGAUAUAUUGAUCUCGAACCAACAGAUGCUCAAUGUGAAUCUUUGACUGCAUUGUAUUCUAUUUAUGGCAAUUUCUUCGAUCAACAUUUGAAUGUUUCAAUGGUUUGUGAUCUUUGGAUUCUAUAAUGACAAAUAUAUGACCAUCAAAUUUCAUUCACGUUCCAGCUGUAAUAAUUUCAUCAUUUCAAGUAAUCUGAUAGCUAAGAGUUUCCUUGUUUCAUCAUACAUAGUCUCUCGUAAUCUUUAAAUCAAUUUAAAACCAUUUCCAUCAUUUGUUCCAAAUUCUUGAUCAUCACCUGAAUAAGCUAGUCAUUGAAACCGUCACAAGCAGCAGCAGAAACAAUAUUUCUUUCCCUAAAACAUGAACCGGUAACAUAUAUAUUUUCUUGACAUAACAAACACAAACAAUAUGCAAAGAAAAUAUGAGGAAGUGGACUUGGCUUUAUAAUCAUAUGUAUAAAAAGUUUUAUUGAAGCAAACAACCAGAAACAAUGACAUCUUCUCAUUUAGGCAUAUCAUCAACCAACUUGCCAACAAUUGGAAAAUCCACCAAGUAACUACAUAUGCGCUCCAUUUCUAGGGUUUCUUGGGAAAAUUAUGACAUUAAUAUGAAAAGAUCAACCCACAUACUUGAGAUGAACCAAUAAAAAAAUUGAUUGUUACUUACCAUUUCCUCAUGAAUUCAAUUAGAUACAGGGAGCCAACCACGAUACAACAUCUCAAGAAAAAUGUUGUCUUGAUCUGUCACUUUUAUAUAAUUGAAUCUCAAAGGUAUACAAAGUAAAAGUAACUAAUGAAAAACUCUCAUCAAUCUAUUUUCCCUGUUGCAAUCGUUAAUCAGAAUUAGAAUUGGAAAAGAUGUAAAUUCUUAGCAAUAUAUUUUUCCCUGUUACAGUCAUUAAUCAUAGGUAGAAUUGGAGAUGUAUUUGGCAAAAAAAAUUAUAAUUACUAUCUGGAAAGAAAAUAUUAAUCCUGAACAUAUAUUUCACCCAAAUCGAGUUUCCAGAUUGAAGGAAAAACGACCAUUUGAAUAGAUUUUAACACGGGAAGAAAAUCCAUCGAUUGGAUUGACGGUAAACAGAAAAAACAAUUGGAAUCAAAUUAAGGUUCUUGAAGAUAACAUACCGGUGGGAAGAUGCUGACGGCAGAAAGAUCAAUGUUAUCAUUCUUAUUUAAUCCAACAUUCAGAAUAUUUGUUGUCAAGAAUUGGGCGAAUUUUAUAUUCGUCGCAUAAUAAUUGAUUUCCAUUUUCUGGAUGAUAUGUCAGAUUUUUCUUGAUGAGGAACCGUUCGUGCAUUUGGAGAGAUGUAGAACCGAUGGGUGAUCAGAAUUGGAAAAGGUAAGUGUUAGAAGGGAGGCAAUGAUCAGAAAGAUUUAAUCGACAUUUGUGCACGUUGUGUCGUUCCGAGAGUUGGAUACGUGGAGGAACUGUCACCCUAUGAAUUUCCUCUAGCCGGCACCAGAUUAAAAGGCUUUCAUAUAUAUAUNNNNNNNNNNNNNNNNNNNNNNNNNNNNNNNNNNNNNNNNNNNNNNNNNNNNNNNNNNNNNNNNNNNNNNNNNNNNNNNNNNNNNNNNNNNNNNNNNNNNNNNNNNNNNNNNNNNNNNNNNNNNNNNNNNNNNNNNNNNNNNNNNNNNNNNNNNNNNNNNNNNNNNNNNNNNNNNNNNNNNNNNNNNNNNNNNNNNNNNNNNNNNNNNNNNNNNNNNNNNNNNNNNNNNNNNNNNNNNNNNNNNNNNNNNNNNNNNNNNNNNNAUCAAUUAAAAAACACAAGAACAAUGUUAUUAUUGGUAAACAGAUAUAAGUGCAUUGCUAUUAUGGGUAAAAAAAAACUUAUAAAACUUCUUUAAAGAAAGGUUAAAACCUUCGACAUUCGAUUGAAAUAGUUAUUUUUAUCAUUAUUUGCAUUCAUGCAAAAUGUUUAUAUUAAUCUUACUUUAUUCAAAUAAAUGUUGUCUAUUCAUCAAGGUUCAAGGUUCAAGUAACUGGUUAACAAAAGACGUUAAAAAUUACAUCAUUAGUUUAAUCUUUUCAGGAGCUACUUUUUUGGAUUAUGAUAAACCAUAUGUUUUUGACGAGUUAUAGUUACACUCACAGUCUUGUAGAUAAACUAUGGUGCAUCAGAGGGCUGGAGAGAGAACUGGUAAGCAUGUUCACCCUCAACCUACAAUUUCAUUUAAAGUUUAGAAUGUAUAUAAAUCUUGUAAAUUGUGUUCACUAAGUGGCUAUACAUAUUCACCUGAAUAUCACAAGUAUGAAAAAGUUUCGUGUAAUUGGCUAUAUACUAAACAGGUCCAUGGAGUAUGGACUAUGUAUCUUGAGCCUUUGUUAGUCAUACAAUCUUACAUUAUAUUUUGUAUCUAACUAUCAGUUAAUUUAUUAAACUACAAAAUAUUUGCAAUAUUAAAAGAUACAUCUCAUGUUGAUAACAAAUAUAAUGAUUCUUUUAUACAAAGCAAAAAAAAAAAAAAGAACAAAAAAAGAUUAUCAUAACUUCCUUUCUUGUAAAAUAAUCCAACAAAUUGCAAAAGAUUAUAAUACUCACAGCUUAACCGAAAAUCAAAAUUAUGCAUAAAAUACAAAAGUUCCUUAUCUAGAUAGCACACAAUAGACGGAAAUCAUUAAUAAAAAAACAAAAUAAAGGCCAAGAGGUCAAUAACUCAUGAGGACUGUCUAUUGAUAGUAACUCAAAUAUACUUUAACCAUUUUUUAUCCUUACAAACUCAAGCCAUAGCAGGUGUUUGAAGUUGUGACCAAAGAUAGCAAUCCAAUUUCAAAUAAAUGAUUCUUCUUCUCUAGUUUUAAAAUUGAUGGUGGAAACUUACAUCCAAACACCACUAAUUAUAGUGGGUUAAUGACCCGAGAUGGAGAAAACCACAAGACCACCCAACUCUAUUUUUUACAUUGAACAGAGAAAAUCCAACUUAACAGUUGAAAGAAAAUCAUGAAUUAUCCUACUUGUAUAACUUGACAACUUUUAUAGGCAUUGUGGUUUCAUGGUCUUAUGGCUAUAAGGUCUUUUUUUCUUUUUCCGAUUGAAUACAUUGUUGGCAUGAGACUAAAUGACCAUUUUACCCCAGCACAAUCCAAACCAGCUUCACAAAAUCUUCCAGCUAAAGGGACAAAAAAAUAGUCAAGUGGUCAGAAACUUGAUCACUUUGUGUCAUCCCUCUAACCCAAGUCCUGCAACAAUUCUUCUUCCAUUUUUAUGCAUCUAAGAGCAUACUUACUACUUAAGUUUUUUUUACAUGCCUAGAUCAAUAGAUCAAGUUCAUAACAGGUUGUAACUUACUUUUUCUUUUUUAUCAUUGUUUAACAACUAUUGACUUUAGUAAGUCAAUCGAGUAGAUCACGUUCAUGCAUCGUUGCAAUGAAAGGUAAACCCUGCCUUUUUUCAAUCGCAUGAAACCAGUGAUAACACCAUGCACAAGGAAAAUAUAAAUUACCAUUAUAACCUCUCAGUAUUUAUGAAGCACCAAAAAGUCAAAAAGAAAAAUAAAAAAUUAAAACAUUAUGAUUAUAUAAGAAAUAAGUGUAUAUGACAAAUGACCAAAUUGGGUCUUUUACAUUUACCUUCGCCAAUAGAUGAUGUCAGAAGCAAGCCAUUUGUCUUGAUUUUGGAAAACAAUUAAUUAACAUUGAGGACUUGAACUUUAUGCAAGAAAACCAAUCUUCCUUCUAGUUCUAUCCAAAAUUUCAAGAUAUUGAAUACGAAUCACAUAGUCAAAUGUUGCUCAUUUAGAUCACACUACACAUGAAUUAUUAGCACAUAAAUUGCCCAAUUAGACUGCUUUUUUUAUGGCAGACGGUCAAAUAAGUUUCGUUAAAUUUAAACAUGAACAAAGAAACAGAAAAAUAAGCAUGUGAAAACAAAUUAUGAUGAACACCAAUUAGAUCAUGGAUCGACUGAACUGCCAAAGACGAAUCAUUUUUCUGGGGAGCACCGAAAUAUAUAAUUGUGUAAAUAUUUUUUAAUUAUUCAAAUAAAGAAAAUAUGCAGAUGUAUCCCUCUCACAGAAAUUUGAUCGUUCUGCAUCUAAUCCAACAUAUAGGAAUAUAAAUUCCAAAUCCCAAAUCUUGAAUAUAAAUCCGAUUAGAAAAAAGGAAAUCGGGAAAGGGACGAUACAGUAGAGUUAAAAAAAACCAACUGGAAUUAUUAUCAGUAUAUCAGGAAUUAUAUUGUUAUCAUUUCAUAAUUGUAUAUUCAAAAUUGAUUAUUGAACCAAUAAUUGAUGAAGGGUAUUUGGUAAAUAUAUAUAAGUGUAAAAAUCAAAAAAAAAAUAAAAUAACACCAUUUUGGGUUUGUUAAAAGAAAAAAGAGAAGCAGAAUGUCUGGAAUGCUCUCUUGCUCUCUGUACUCAUAACCAACAUAUAGGAAUGAUGAUGUAGCUGUGAAAUAUAAGCAAUUCUUAUUAGUCUUUUUGCAUUUUGUCAUUGAUAGCGAAUUAUGGAAAAUUAGAAAUAUAUCCAUUCAUAGUGUCUGUAAACCAAAUAUAAGUUAAAAGGUACUAUAAUGAUGAUGAUUGAUGAACUCUAAAAAAGCAUAUUUGGAUGUUGCAAUGUUUAGUUAUUUACCAGCUAUUAAAUUCAAGUUCUUUUAUGUUGGAAAAUUUUCAGGCAGAUGGGGGAAAUUGCAGUAAUUUGUACAAUAGGAUUACUUAUUUUCCUUCUUAAAUGCUGUCAAGAGUGGGAGUACUUAAAUGAACCAAUUAAAUUUGAAAUUAAUGUGCAUAUUAAGAUGUAAGGAAAAUGUAAUAUGCUGUAUAUUUGUUUGAAGGAAUUUAAAUUUCCCUUUUACACGAUUGAAAACAAAAAGGAAAAACAGAUUGCAAUAUGAUAUGCAUUUCUAGGAAUAAUACUGAGCUUUUAUAUACUUGAAUCUCAAGGAUAUACAAUGUAAAAGCAACCAAUGGAACAAAUUGUCCGCAAUAUUUUCCCCUGGUGCAAUCGUUCAUUAUAAUUACAAUUAGAAAAUAUGUUAACUAUCUGGAAUAAUUUAUCCAUGUGCAAUCGUUAAUCAUAAUUACAAUACAAUUGGACAAAAUUAUGCCUGAACGGAUAUUUCACCGAAAUGGAGUUUGCCGAUUGGAGGAAACACACCGGUCAAAUAAAUUUUAACGGGAUAGGAAAAUACAUCAACAGAUUAACGGUAAAGAAUAGGAAAGAACUAAAAUCAAAUUAGGGUUUGUGUAGAAAACAUACCAGUAGGAAGAUGAUGAUGGCAGAUGGAGAUGACGACAGGAGGAUCAAUGUGUCGUUCUUAUUUGAUUCAUAUUACGAAUGUUUGCGGUGAAGAUUAGGGGGAAUUGUGUGUUCGUUGCGUAAUAAUUGCAAUCCGUUUUGUGGAUGAUUUGGUUAGAUUUUGUUGAUGAGGUACCGUUGCGUGUAUUCGAAGAGGCGUAGAAUGAAGGAGUAAUUGAAUUUGGAAAAGGUGUAUGUCUGGGAUUGGGUANNNN